GCCGACGAAGAAGAAGAGUCCUCAACAGCAACAAUGGUUGAGAAGUCGAACAAAGCCAGAAAAGAGGAGAUUGUCACCAGAGAGUACACCAUCAACCUCCACAAGCGUCUCCAUGGAUGGUACUUUAUCUUUCUCCAUUUCAGUAUAUGUUGGAUCUGUAGUGUAGAACGUUGAUUUCUGGAAUUUGAUAUGGUUGUGUAUGUGCUUGUUUGUUUUUUAACUUAAUCGAGUGGUUCUUUCGUGGUGUUUAUGAAGUGAAGCGUUGAUUUGCUAAAAUCGACGAUUUUCUUUGUUGAAAUCGACUUGGGAGCCGUGUGUCGGCGAUUCUUUUUAAUCCUGAAGUUUAUGGAAUCUUUGGCGGUUUGCUUAUUUACUAGAGGUUUAUCCGUUGAUUUUGCUGGCAAGGAAAAUUUGUUUCUGCAUGAGAAAAUCAUAUUUCAGUAUUUGGCGCGUUAUUUUGGUUUGGUUUGAUUUGAUUUGAUUUUAGUUUGGUUUUGGAAUGUAAUUGAAACGGAUAACAUGCAAUGGGGAUGAUUGGAAAAUGCUUUUCUUAACAGAUGUUACACAGGAGAAUGUUCCAAAUAUGAUGUAAAAAUGGAAAUUUUGGAAGAAUGGUGGUUGCUUAGAGUGAAUCUGUGAAAGUAAAGACUGAGUCCGACAUACUGUUAGGAAGUAUCUCAUAAGUCUAAAAAAAUUAUUUCUAAUUAUUGUCUUUUUGAUUCAAAAUAAAUAAUAAAUGGGUAGAGAGGAAAAUCUCAGAUACGGGGAUUUGUGGUUGUAUGCUUGCUGGUGAAGGGCAGUGGUAGAAUUCCCAAAAUUUUGCAAAGACUGUUAAGUUGGAAUGAGCUUUGAAUAAAAAUUUAAUUUUUUUUCUAGGAGGUUUUUAUAUUUUACCCUUGUUGUGGUGGUGGAAGGAAAUUGAGGAGUAUUCAUGAAGGGCAUGGUCAAAUGUGUCAGUAUAGUUGAAUGUUUUUGCAUAUGUAGGGGUAUAAAGCCAUCUCUAAAAUGGGGUCAUUGAUUGAAGUUGGAACCCUUUCUAGAACCAGUGGCAAUUUAGGAUUUCAUGAAAAUGUUUCACCAAUAUUUCUGUUGAAUUUCAGUUUUUUAAAGUUGUAUUAAAAUAUCACAAUGUUGUAAUUCAUAUGCUAGAGUACAUCUGAAGGAGUCCACGCUGCUGUAAUAUGCGAAUGACAUACACCUACCCAUUACCUGUUGUAUCAUCUGUUUCAAGGGACUUGAUUGCCUCUACUGAGCUUAUGCUUUUGUAAUUGUUCAUUUAUAUUUAAUUAAUUGUUCUUCAUUGUCGUUCUCUUGUUGUGAUCUUAGUGCUAUGAGACAUUCCCUAGCUUUUGGGAGUAGCAGGAUAAGAAUGGUAGUACUAUUAUUAGAGAUAAAUAUAUUCUAGACAUAGGUGCAUAUAAAUUUUAUUGGUGUCUUGUGCUGUUACUUUGAUUUGAUAUAUAUAUUUUUUACUGCUUGUUUUUUUAAAUCUAUACCAUCCUUUAGGAAAUACUUGAUUUCAUACCAUUUAUUGAGCAUAACAAUUAUAAGUCCAUGCAUGUAUGCAAAGAUCACCUAUGAUUGUUGUUCAUCCUGCAUCUCUCUCCAUUUAUGCAUCUAAUCUCAUCUAAUUCUUCUAAACCUCUAGGCCAUUUUCCCCACAAAGUUCAUGGUCCUCACUCCAUUACAAAAAUGAUCCUUUACCUCCCCACCAUUUUUUAUUUAUUUUUUUUGGCUUUUCUAUGGUAAUCAUAGAAUGCCUAAAAAAUUUGUUCAUACCAUCUGUUAUAGUAGGAGCAGAAAUGCGCUGAUUCAGCAACAUGAUUAGCUUCAAAUUUCAUGUCCCACUGAUUCAGCGACACGAAGCGUAACCUAAAAGAUAAGUAUAACAAUGCAUCUGCUUUCUCAUCUUCCAAAUCUCCUAAUGCUGCUACCUUCUUAUGUAACUGCUUCUGUAAUUGUUUGAGGAAAAAAUGCUUGUAAUUGAAUGUUAAAUGCCCAACAUUAUGAAUUCUGUAAGAGUUAUUUCUUGUGUUCCCUUUGUCAUUGGAGCUAUAGGAUCAGUGAAUUACCAUCUGUGUCGUUUUUGUGCACAAAUAGGAUUGGUGAAUUACCAUCUGCAUCAAUUAUGUGGAACACAUUUACACUAAUCUAAAACUUGGGCAGCUUACUUGAAGCUUUUAUGAAGGUUUCUUGUCUUAGCCCAAACUUGAGGUUCAUCCCAUAUAAACUGGUUGCAUGUGUUAAUUUGAGCAUUCUAAAUUUGUUGAGUUAGACUGACUAACAACCCUGUUGUAUUUUUUAUGUUCCCGCUGGAGGGUUCACAACAUGUUUUUUAUUUGAAGAUUUACAUAAUUCAUAACUGCAGUAUUCUUGUUGAUUUUUGGGACUUUAGCCUUUCAGCUAAUCUAAUCCAUUGUAGCCACCUAAAUACAAAUUCCUUGUGCUCCAAUUUCAAUGUGCAGCACAUUCAAGAAGAAGGCUCCAAAGGCCAUAAAGGAAAUCAGGAAGUUUGCCCAGAAGGCUAUGGGAACAACCGAUGUCAGAGUCGAUGUUAAGCUAAACAAGCACAUCUGGAGCCGUGGGAUCCGAAGUGUUCCAAGGAGAAUCCGUGUCCGCAUUGCAAGAAAAAGAAAUGACGAAGAAGAUGCCAAGGAGGAGCUUUUCUCGCUGGUCACCGUUGCAGAGGUCCCACCAGAGGGAUUGAAGGGCUUGGAAACUAAGAUCAUCGAUGAUGAGGAUUGAACCAACCAUGCCUCCCUGCCUUAAUUAGGUACUCCAGUUUUGGGUUUUAUGUUUUUCCGAUCUUAAUUCAGAAAAUGUUUUUGGUUGGUUUUGGAUUCUCUGUGGAAUUUCUCCCUAAUUAGAGUUGUUUAUCCCAUUUAUGCAUUCAGUUUGUGUUAGAAACAUGUGUGAACUGAAUUUUAUUUACAUCCCUUGCGGCUAU
RNAcentral lists this long non-coding RNA (2947 nucleotides) under Vitis vinifera (wine grape). RNAcentral describes it as "long non-coding RNA (VVIN_LNC004388)". The record is from RNAcentral. Lineage: Eukaryota; Viridiplantae; Streptophyta; Magnoliopsida; Vitales; Vitaceae.